This 497-nucleotide ribosomal RNA is filed under the name uncultured bacterium. RNAcentral describes it as "partial 16S ribosomal RNA". It matches the Rfam family "Bacterial small subunit ribosomal RNA", at positions 28 to 507 of the family's 1533-position model. The record is from RNAcentral.
GAUGAACGCUGGCGGCGUGCCUAAUACAUGCAAGUCGAGCGAACAGACGAGGAGCUUGCUCCUCUGACGUUAUCGGCGGACGGGUGAUUAACACGUGGAUAACCUACCUAUAAGACUGGGAUAACUUCGGGAAACCGGAGCUAAUACCGGAUAAUAUAUUGAACCGCAUGGUUCAAUAGUUAAAGACGGUUUUUCUUUCACUUAUAGAUUGAUCCGCGCCGCAUUAGCUAGUUGGUAAGGUAACGGCUUACCAAGGCAACGAUGCGUAGCCGACCUGAGAGGGUGAUCCGCCACACUGGAACUGAGACACGGUACAGACUCCUACGGGAGGCAGCAGUAGAGAAUCUUACGCAAUGGGGGAAAGCCUGACGGAGCAAAGCCGCGUGAGUGAUGAAGGUCUUCGGAUCGUAAAACGCUGUUAUUAGGGAAGAACAAAUGUGUAAGUAACUAUGCACGUCUUGACGGUACCUAAUCAGAAAGCCACGGCUAACUACGUG